UCCCCGAUGGUGUAACGGUAACAUAGCUGGUUUUCACCCAGCAGCCCCGGGUUCAACUCCCGGUCGAGGAA
RNAcentral lists this transfer RNA (71 nucleotides) under Cladophialophora bantiana CBS 173.52. Its description in RNAcentral is "tRNA-Glu (TTC) (tRNA-Glu-TTC-1-1)". It matches the Rfam family "tRNA". From Rfam's summary of the family: Transfer RNA (tRNA) molecules are approximately 80 nucleotides in length. Lineage: Eukaryota; Fungi; Ascomycota; Eurotiomycetes; Chaetothyriales; Herpotrichiellaceae. The record is from RNAcentral.